Molecule: ribosomal RNA, 253 nt
Filed under: uncultured bacterium
Lineage: Bacteria
Description: partial 16S ribosomal RNA
Rfam family: Bacterial small subunit ribosomal RNA
Source: RNAcentral
UACGUAGGGGGCAAGCGUUGUCCGGAUUUAUUGGGCGUAAAGAGCGUGUAGGCGGCCAGGUAGGUCUGCUGUGAAAACUCGAGGCUCAACCUCGAGACGUCGGCGGAAACCAUCUGGCUAGAGUCCGGAAGAGGAGAGUGGAAUUCCUGGUGUAGCGGUGAAAUGCGCAGAUAUCAGGAAGAACACCCGUGGCGAAGGCGGCUCUCUGGAACGGUACUGACGCUGAGACGCGAAAGCGUGGGGAGCGAACAGG